UGGGGAAUAUUGGACAAUGGGCGAAAGCCUGAUCCAGCCAUGCCGCGUGUGUGAAGAAGGUCUUCGGAUUGUAAAGCACUUUAAGUUGGGAGGAAGGGCAGUAAGCGAAUACCUUGCUGUUUUGACGUUACCGACAGAAUAAGCACCGGCUAACUCUGUGCCAGCAGCCGCGGUAAUACAGAGGGUGCAAGCGUUAAUCGGAAUUACUGGGCGUAAAGCGCGCGUAGGUGGUUCGUUAAGUUGAAUGUGAAAGCCCCGGGCUCAACCUGGGAACUGCAUCCAAAACUGGCGAGCUAGAGUAGGGCAGAGGGUGGUGGAAUUUCCUGUGUAGCGGUGAAAUGCGUAGAUAUAGGAAGGUACACCAGUGGCGAAGGCGACCACCUGGGCUCAUACUGACACUGAGGUGCGAAAGCGUGGGGAGCAAACAGG
Molecule: ribosomal RNA, 429 nt
Filed under: Pseudomonadota bacterium
Lineage: Bacteria; Pseudomonadati; Pseudomonadota
Description: Proteobacteria bacterium partial 16S ribosomal RNA
Rfam family: Bacterial small subunit ribosomal RNA
Source: RNAcentral